RNAcentral lists this ribosomal RNA (253 nucleotides) under uncultured bacterium. RNAcentral describes it as "partial 16S ribosomal RNA". It matches the Rfam family "Bacterial small subunit ribosomal RNA", at positions 524 to 776 of the family's 1533-position model. The record is from RNAcentral.
UACGUAGGGUGCGAGCGUUAAUCGGAAUUACUGGGCGUAAAGCGUGCGCAGGCGGUUUUGUAAGCCAGAUGUGAAAUCCCCGGGCUUAACCUGGGAAUGGCAUUUGGGACUGCAAGGCUGGAGUGCGGCAGAGGAGACUGGAAUUCCUGGUGUAGCAGUGAAAUGCGUAGAGAUGCGGAGGAACACCGAUGGCGAAGGCAGCCCCCUGGGCUGACACUGACGCUCAGGCACGAAAGCGUGGGGAGCAAAAGGG